Molecule: long non-coding RNA, 1935 nt
Organism: Oxyura jamaicensis (ruddy duck)
Lineage: Eukaryota; Metazoa; Chordata; Aves; Anseriformes; Anatidae
Exons: 2
Source: RefSeq, a predicted model, not a curated record
GAGCUGAGCACAUCCUUGGUGUCCGUGGCGUGAAGGGGUUGUUCUGUGUGUCAGCGUCUCCCUUCGGCUGAACGGGACGAGGGGAAGAGGUGGCAAAAGGUGGUUGUACAGUGCUCGGUGGUAACUGGGGGGGCAUGUGCUGGAAGACAGGAGUGGAGGCUGUGAGGAAACAUCUUCCCUUGGUGGGAAGCACGGGGAGCGGGGGAGAGAGAAGAGGCCCACCUCCACCGUUGCUGAGACAGUUGAAAAGAAAAUCAGCACGAGUGUGGGAUUUCUGUGUUUUUCACGAAAACAGCAAAAGCAGUCGAGUCUACUGUUUGCAUAGGAAAAAUGUCAUUAGAGGGAGCAAAAAAGCACAUGUGGGACUGAGAACAUCUGCUGUACGAAGCAGCUUGAAAAACAACUGAGCAGCAGCAGAGGGAAACAAAAAGCACCGCGUGCAGCAGGCCCCUCCCGGGAGGAGAGGGAAGAGGAGCAGCGAGACCAAGUUGGUGCAAAGCAGGUCAUCGCCUAGCACGACCUGUUCCUCGUCAUCAAGGCAGUGGGAAUGAGAUCAACCAGCGAUAGAGAGGGAAGAUCUCCAAGGUGGGGAUCCAGAGUUGCCUUGUCAUCAAAGAAUGAGGUGGAGGAGUGACGGGUGACAGUCGUGGCAGCAGGCUCCGAGGCCUACUUUUAGGAAGCAGCCUUUGGUUUUGUACUGGCGUGUGAUCACAGAUGCGUUACAAAGAACCGCCUUCCGAGCUGUUGCAAAAAUAGGAUCCGGAGCGAUACGUCUUUGUGUAUUCGCUUUUUCAUCUGCCUACACACAGUCACUUUUCCUCUCCCAAACAAUUCCAGGCCUAACUAUGAAAAUGGUCAGCGCUCAUGGAAAUGCCUUUGUUUGUAGAGGAUGAGGUUUUGUGGCAAUUUACCUGGUUAUGAAAUUUUACAUACUUACCACGUUUGUUUUUCCCCAGGGGAAUAUGUUGGGUGGAUAAAAGCCAUGCGCAGUGAUUCAGACAGAUUUAUUUUAUUAUUUUUUUUUUCCUGAAGCAUGGAAAAAUAACUUUAUUGGCAUUACAUCGUGCUGAGGGUCUCGCCACCACCACUGUGCAGGACAGUGUGCAGCCUGCCAGCUGCGUAGUCUUUGCAGUCUUUCCCCCGUGAUUUUUCUGAAAGAUCAAAUUUCUUGUUCUUGGAUGGUAACCUGUUUGUUUGGCUAUUGUCAGAAGUGCUUUUACUUGCACACAUGUGCCUCCAGAAUCCAAAAAAUCUACAUAAUUUGGCGUGCUUUUGAUACUUGGGUCUACAGAUCCUCAGUUACAAAUGUCACGUCUUUCAGGUUUGGGUCUAUUUUAAGAUCUCUAGCAUCCUCUCCCAUUUUAACGCAGUCACCUAUAUUCUGCUUUUGUAAAUGUUUAUGGAUGUUCCUCUGUUUUACAUGAGCUUUCCUUAUUACGCCAAGCAAGAUAAAUUUCUCAUCCUGAACCAUCGCUCCGAUGAUUAAUUUAUUGUAAUGGAGCCUGGCAGGCUUUCACAAGAACUUUAUUUGCUUUAUUUGUACAUAUGCAAGCUGCAGAAGAGAUUUGCAUGUUAUAACUGUUUGAGACUGAAAGAAUUCUUGAAUCGUUACUUCCCAUAGUAUAUAAAAUCUUUGCUACUCUGCUUCUAAAACAGUAUUUCGUUUUGUAAGACCAGGAUAGUUUCUGUGUGAAGUAUGUUGAAUCUGGGGAGGCUUCACUCACUUUCUUGAGGUUAGUAUAUGCAGCUGCCGUGCCUUAGUCUUGACUACGUAUAAAUUUGAUUUCUUAAUCUUCAAAGCAGCUAUAUACAAAAACUUAAAUGAAAUGGACCGUACAAAUAUGUAAACUCCAGUCCAGAAUUCUCACAGAUGUUCAGGAAUGUUGCUUUUUUGUUGUUGUUUUGUUCUUGGGUGUAGAGAGAGACGGUGCAGAA